CGGGAGGUAGCGUAGUCUGGAUUAGCGCACUUGAAUGGGGUUCAAGGGGUCGCGGGUUCGAAUCCCGCCCUCCCGACCA
This 79-nucleotide transfer RNA is filed under the name Candidatus Omnitrophica bacterium 4484_171. RNAcentral's name for it is "tRNA-Pro". It matches the Rfam family "tRNA". From Rfam's summary of the family: Transfer RNA (tRNA) molecules are approximately 80 nucleotides in length. Their secondary structure includes four short double-helical elements and three loops (D, anti-codon, and T loops). The record is from RNAcentral. RNAcentral also lists the same sequence under 1 other name. Lineage: Bacteria; Pseudomonadati; Candidatus Omnitrophota.